AGGUAGCAUAAUCAUUUGUUAUCUAAAUGAUAACUAGUAUGAAUGGUCUGACGAGAAAAUAACUUUCUAAAAAGAAAAGAUGAAAAUUUAUUUUAAAGUAAAAAAGCUUUAUAACUUUAGAAAGACGAGAAGACCCUAGAACCUGUUCUAUCUAUAUAGUUUGUUGGGGCGACAUUAUUCAAAACAAAUAACUAUUAAAACUUAUUUACUGACUGUAUCUAUCUUUAUUAAAAAAAAAAAAGGUACUCUAGGGAUAACAGCAUAAUCUUCUUCUAGAGCCCUAAUCGACAAGAAAGAUUUUGACCUCGAUGUUGAAUUGAUAUUUCUUUCUAAAGCAGAA
This 340-nucleotide ribosomal RNA is filed under the name Armadillo officinalis (oak-woodland pillbug). RNAcentral's name for it is "partial large subunit ribosomal RNA". It matches the Rfam family "Bacterial large subunit ribosomal RNA", at positions 1954 to 2560 of the family's 2925-position model. The record is from RNAcentral. Lineage: Eukaryota; Metazoa; Arthropoda; Malacostraca; Isopoda; Armadillidae.